UCCGGCUUAUCACCGGCAGUUUCUUUAGAGUGCCCAACUAAAUGCUGGCAACUAAACACAGGGGUUGCGCUCGUUAUGGGACUUAACCCGACAUCUCACGACACGAGCUGACGACGGCCAUGCAGCACCUGAUACUAGUGUCCCGAAGGCCUAUGAUAUCUCUACCAUAUUCACUAGCACUUCAAACCCAGGUAAGGUUUUUCGCGUUGCAUCGAAUUGAACCACAUGCUCCACCGCUUGUGCGGGCCCCCGUCAAUUUCUUUGAGUUUUAAUCUUGCGACCGCACUUCCCAGGCGGAUCACUUAACGCGUUAGCUUCGGCACUGAUGGGGUCAAUACCACCAACACCAAGUGAUCAUCGUUUACGGUGCGGACUAC
This 377-nucleotide unclassified non-coding RNA is filed under the name uncultured Pseudobdellovibrionaceae bacterium. Its description in RNAcentral is "uncultured Bdellovibrionaceae bacterium contains 16S-23S intergenic spacer region". The record is from RNAcentral. Lineage: Bacteria; Pseudomonadati; Bdellovibrionota; Bdellovibrionia; Bdellovibrionales; Pseudobdellovibrionaceae.